This 111-nucleotide ribosomal RNA is filed under the name uncultured eukaryote. Its description in RNAcentral is "partial small subunit ribosomal RNA". It matches the Rfam family "Eukaryotic small subunit ribosomal RNA", at positions 1676 to 1785 of the family's 1831-position model. The record is from RNAcentral.
UCGCACCUACCGAUUGAAUGGUCCGGUGAAAUCUUCGGACUGCGGCAAUGGUACGGUUUCCGUAACGCUGCUGUGGAAAGUUGCUUAAACCUUACCAUUUAGAGGAAGGUG